Molecule: long non-coding RNA, 1809 nt
Filed under: Macaca mulatta (Rhesus monkey)
Lineage: Eukaryota; Metazoa; Chordata; Mammalia; Primates; Cercopithecidae
Description: lncRNA (ENSMMUG00000064463.1)
Source: RNAcentral
GGAUUAUAGGUGCCCACCACCAUGCCUGGCUAAUUUGUGUAUUUUUAGUAGACACAAGGUUUCACCAUAUUGGCCAGGCUGGUCUCGAACUCCUGACCUCAAGUGAUCCAUCUGCCUCAGCCUCCCUAAGUGCUGGGAUUACAGGUGCGAGCCACAACUCCCGGCCUCCUGGCGUUCUUUAAACGGGAGAAAUAAGCAUGCCAUUAACAAUGGCAAGACAGAGUGAGAUGCAUCCACCUCUUUCUGCCCGAUGGGAGCUGCACUGCAGGGGACAUGGAGGGGAUCACUGGCUGCACUGGAGGAAGGGCGCUGGCCCCAGCCCCAUGUAGAUCCAGGGCCCUGCGAGGAGCCAGCUCUGGAUAGAACGUGCCAUAUAUGUCUCUGGGUGGGGGACAGAGCACAUGACACUUUCCCCCCACUUCUACUUUCUUCAUUUUCCUGCAAAGCCUGGACUGUAAAGAAGGGGAUCUCUGCAUCUCAUAAGCCCAGAGGCCAACAGCCAGCUUGUUUGGGAGUCCAGGGUCUGAGGCCACAGCCGGGAGAGAGCCCUGUCCGUGGCAGCUUCAAACCCACGUCCUGGUUCCUGGCAACUGGAGAUCCUGGAGGAGACGGCUCCCGGUGGCUUUGUCGCUGACCUCCCCAGAUCAUUUUUUCAGACACGUAGAACCUUCCUCUCUCCUCCUUAAUAGCUCCCACAGCUGCCAGCCCUGAGGGCUUUUCUUCUUUUAAAUCAAAUUCCUCUCUGGGUUUAAUACACACGUGCGUGCACGUGCUCAGGAGCCCACGAGGCUGAAGCGGACCACGCCUUCUCAAUUUCCCCAAUUCAUCCCUUUCUUGCUGUGAUGGCUUCUGGUCACUUGCCUCAGGACAGGUGCACCUUUGUAACCACCUGGGGAUGUAGGCGCCGGUCCUCUGAGUCCAGAGCCGUUUCUUCCUCCCGAAGCCGGCUUCGUGUUCCAGAGCGGCUGGAGCCACCGAAGCUGGGACUCAGGCAUGUGAUCGUACUAGAGGGGCAGAGGCAUUGCCUUCUCAUCUCCAUGGCCUGCAGACUCUCGUGUCUGGGAGAAGGAGCAGCAACCUGUAACUACAGAACUGCCGUCACGGUCCACAUCGGUACCGCGUGGCUGCUCCCAGCCCUGGGUCCCUCCAGCACUCAUUAGUAGCUGCACCAGAGCUGGAUGGGGAAGGAAGAGGGAUGGGAUUCACUGGAGUCCUCGUUAGGAGGAAUUCAGGCCAAAGAUUUGGAGAAGAGGAAGCUGGUCCUACUGGGCACGGCAAGGAGUUCAGUGUGUGCGGAUCUCAAAGAACCUCCCUCCCAGCACCACUGAGGUGCUGAGGAUGCCCCUGAAACGGCCUCAAACUCGACUUGGACUAUGGGUUCCAUCCGUAGAGUUGGCCUCACUGACAGCAUUACAGGAAGGCUUCGAGGCAGCUCCCUGUGACCAUGUGGCGAUCGGACCAUCCCUGGCAUCCCACUUUGUGGGUGAGGAGACUGCUUCCUAACCAUGCCCCCAGUUACCACCUGUUCCUGAGAUGCAUGUUUUUUGAGCACCUACUGUGUGUCAGCGCUGGGCAAUGCCCUCUGGAUAGAGCCUUGAAUAAGCCAGACAAAAGCCUGGCUCGCGCCUGUAAGCCCAGAACUUUGGGAGGCUAAGGUGGAAUGAUUGAGACCCGGAGUUCAAUACCAGCCUGGGCAACAAGGGUGGAGCUGGGACUCUGUGACUGUGACUCUAACAAGCUUCCAGUCAAAUGGGAAUAGGACAUCGUCAUGGGAUGGCCGAGAAGAUUUGGUGAUGUGAGUUCAGCACA